GAGGAAGAGAAAGAAAAAUCGAUUCCCUGAGUAGCGGCGAGCGAAACGGGAAGAGCCCAAACCAACAAGCUUGCUUGUUGGGGUUGUAGGACACUCUAUACGGAGUUACAAAAGAACAUGUUAGACGAAUCAUCUGGAAAGAUGAAUCAAAGAAGGUAAUAAUCCUGUAGUCGAAAACAUAUUCUCUCUUGAGUGGAUCCUGAGUACGACGGAGCACGUGAAAUUCCGUCGGAAUCUGGGAGGACCAUCUCCUAAGGCUAAAUACUCUCUAGUGACCGAUAGUGAACCAGUACCGUGAGGGAAAGGUGAAAAGUACCCCGGAAGGGGAGUGAAAGAGAACUUGAAACCGUGUGCUUACAAGUAGUCAGAGCCCGUUAAUGGGUGAUGGCGUGCCUUUUGUAGAAUGAACCGGCGAGUUACGAUUUGAUGCAAGGUUAAGCAGCAAAUG
This 448-nucleotide ribosomal RNA is filed under the name Streptococcus pyogenes. Its description in RNAcentral is "partial 23S ribosomal RNA". It matches the Rfam family "Bacterial large subunit ribosomal RNA", at positions 213 to 660 of the family's 2925-position model. Lineage: Bacteria; Bacillati; Bacillota; Bacilli; Lactobacillales; Streptococcaceae. The record is from RNAcentral.